AGUAAAGUAAGCUAAUUAAUAAGCUGUUGGGUUCAUACCCCAAAAAUAGAUAAAUAUUCUCUUUAUUA
This 68-nucleotide transfer RNA is filed under the name Opisthoteuthis sp. JN-2021. Its description in RNAcentral is "tRNA-Met". Lineage: Eukaryota; Metazoa; Mollusca; Cephalopoda; Octopoda; Opisthoteuthidae. The record is from RNAcentral.